GCCAGGUCCCCAGAGGAGGGUGGGUCUCGGCCCGCCCCCGUGGGGGCGGGCGCACUUUUGGAGGAGCGACUUCGCGGGCUUCCGGUUGGGGCCGGAAGUUGUAGUUACUAAGGCGACGCCAAACUGCUGGCCCAGUUUCAUAGAUGUUCCCAGCGCCACCUUCUGUGAUGACAUCCCCCAAAGGAAAUCGAGCCCAUAAGAUGAAGCUGCCCAUUUUUACCCGAAAGGGGAUGCUGGAAGUGCCAUCCCCAACAGAGAAAGACUGGUCUAAGGAUGAUGAAGACGAUUGCGUCUUCAGUGAUCCAGAGCAAGAGGUGGAUUCCCUACCUCAGCCUUACCGAAUGAUCAACAAGCUGGUGAACUUUCUGUUUGACCGUUCUUGGGAAAUUAUUGAGGAGAGGGACGUGUUGAGGACAGCUGAGCUCAGCCGGAUCCAGCCUACCAUCUACCCUCCGUUUAUGGAAAGCACGCUCAACAAAAUGCCAAAUUGUAUGGCUGUUUCUCAAGACUAUGUAUUUAUUGGAGGAACGAAAGGAUUCUCCAUCUAUAAUCUGCACAAUGCUAAAAGAAUAUAUGUUUGGGAGAAACUUAAGGUUGAUGUGACUUCCAUCUGGGCCACAGAUUUGGGGAAUGAAAUACUUAUUGCUCCUGUGGAUGAAAUGGGUAUCAUUAGACUGUUUUAUUUUUAUAAGGAUAGUCUUUUCCUCAUCAAAGCCAUCAAUGAAGUGGAUGAUACCAGCAAACAAACCACCUGUAUCAAGAUGGAGAUUUCUGAAGGAGGGGACUUCGCAGCCUUCCUCCUACAAGGAGCUGGAGAUAUUUGUCUGGAUGUGUAUAAAUUGCCUAAGGAGUCUUGGCUCAAGGAAGUGGAGUACCCCCAACUCUCUGCAGAUUCAAAGAAAAAAGUCAGACAGCUGCAAUUGAACACUCUUGACCCUGUAACGACUGAUACUUUUGAAAUGGAUAUAAACAUCUGUUUUAGAGGAGAUGUUAAACUGAGUCUUCCAGUUCACAUAAUGAAGAUCAAACCACCCAAACCAGUUACAGGUACCACAUUUAAGAGCCCUCUGGAAGUCUUUGCAAAGAUAGAGGACUGCUGUGGGCUGGGCUCCGGGCAGAAUCACUUCAUCAAGGACAGUCAGUGGGAGCAGCAGGUGGCAAUCUUCAACGCCACCUACAAGAAGUACCUGGAUGGGGAGUGGGAGGAGGAGCUGCUCAGUAUGGCCACUUUCCACUUCCUCCUUCCUAGCUGCAUCAUUGCAAUGCCAGCAGAAGUCAAGAACCCACCAGGGGUGGCCUGUGUCCUUGGCGUGCACUGGACCGGAAGUCACAACUUCUUCCUCUAUUCACUUAACCGAACGCUGAAGGAUAAAGUUGACCCCGAGAGCGCGUGGCCCUGUGCUGCGCCCAUCACGGUGUCUCAGCUCAGCUGCUGCUGCUCCUACCUGGUGCUGGCCUGCGAGGACGGUGUGCUCACGCUGUGGGACCUGGCCCAAGGACUCUCUCUUGGAGUCAUUGCUCUUCCUGAAAGAUGUCUCUGCCAAAGCAUUCACUUCCUGAAAUACUUCUUAGUCCACAAAGGACGGAACAUGUAUCCCGAGGGGCCGGUGAAAUCCCAGAUGAAGUGUGUGGUGCUGGGCACAGAUGGCGCUCUCUACCUGGUGGCAGCCUCGGGGACCCAAAGACCCACCCUCAGUUUGCUUGUCGAGAGGCCUGUGAAGCACCCGGAGGAAGCCAUCUGUGCAGUGGCCCCAGUCCGAGACUUACCCGGCAUGGUACUGAUCUUUUCCAGCAAUGGCUCUGUGCACCUCAUGGACGUGGCCACAUCACAGAUUAUCUGUGCCUUUGCUCCGCCCAGAUCCUACCAUCUGGGAGUCCCCUGGAAGCCAGUGUUUGUCGUGUCUUCACACCACCCAUGUUUCCUGCUCCGAGGAGACCAUCCCGAUGAACUCGGAUCCGCCAGCAAUGCCGAGGACAUCCCAAAUUCUAUUUUCUAUUUUAAUUUCGAGGCCUGCCCACUCCUAGAAAACAUCAGAAGAAAUUGCACCAUUCCUCAAACUGACAUGCUGGAUAACGCGGCCUUCCCCCAGGUGUUGCCUUUGGAGAAAAGAUGCGAGAAUUUCUUCCAGAAGAGGUAAACGGCUAUGUGAUACAUCUCUCCUCUUCCCCUCUCUGCUUCCCCCCGUCCUGCUGGGACUCUGCUUGUGUUCCUUCCUGCUGAAAAAGCGUAAUUAACGCCACUCAGUCCAUUCUGGAGAAGCAAGUAUCUCAUCUAAUCCAUCCACAGCAAACUUCUAGGGCUUUGCAAGUUCUUGUUGACGAUUUCGGCUGUGAUCUGGCCAUACAUUUCAGGUGAAAGGGGUCAUCAGUAGAGCUCUGGAAUCUUGCCCCAGGCCUGCCACUACACAGCCAGAGGGCUUUGGUGUGCCCUCCCUUCCAGGGCCUCAGUGUCCUUCUGCAACAUGAGCUCUGAGAUGUGAUCUCUCCAAUCUCCAUAACAUCCCUUCAUGGCCAUUUCUUCCGUUUUCACUCUUUCCUGGAGGAAUGAAGUGGAAUGGCUAAGAUGCUCAGGUGUGAAUUCUGACUCCACUACUUACUGAGAGACCUUGGCUGAGUUACUUAACCUCUCAAAGCCUCAGUUUCCUCGGUCAUUCAAAAAAUAUUUAUUGAGCACUUGCAUACAAUGUGCUAGACUGUGUUCUGGACAUUUCGAUGAUGCCUGAUCUCUAGGUUUUGUAGGUUUUCAGUGAGAAAAUACAUGUAAAGUGCUAGGCACAGGGUGGUCCCUCAGUAAAUAGCAGAUACAAAAAUGGUGAUGGGUCCCCUCCGCGUUGGUUUAAGUUCAUGCCUGGGGAGAUUGCAAAUAUCACCACAAGGUGGCACCACAGCUCUCCUCCACCACAGAAUUUACCUGUUGCAUUCAGGUCCUUCCUGGGUUGCCCUGCAUUGCUCAGGCAGCUUCCAGGAUCUCCUGGCGGGGAGUGCGCUCACUCACCAGAAAGGGAAUAUGGUCCAUGGGUCUUGGGGGAGGAGGACAGUGAAGAAGGGGCCAGUUGACGUUUCCUCUGUUUAAAGAUUUGCCAAGAAUGCUCAGCUAUUCCUCACACGGAGGUUUCUCGUUUUGAUCCCCGAUGACUUGGCUUGUUCUUAGGAGACGCAGCAGGAGGAAUUAAGGGUGAAGUGUUGUGAUGCCUACAACUUACUUUCAAGUGGUCCAAGAAAACAUUUGUAGAGAGACAGAGAGAAAGAGAAAGUGUUAACUGCUGAAACCCAGGAAAAUAUUUAUAGAGAAAGAGAGAAAGGGAGGGAAGUGAAUGUUAACAACUGGUGAGUCCAGCUGGAAACUCACGGUACUACUUGCAACUUUUCUGUAGGUUUGAAAUUCCCGAAGUAAAAGAUAGGGAGAGGCUAUAAAAUAUUACUUACAGUAUAAUCCUGAUUCUGAGUAAAAAGAGGGAAGACUGGAAAUGUGUUCAUCUACAGUAACACUAAUCAUGUUUAGGCAGUGAAGCGUGAGUGAUUUUUUUUUCUUUGUAUUUUCCCUAUUUGUAACUUUUCUACAAAAAAUAUGCAUUAGUUUGGAAAUUUUUAAGUAACGGUUGGAAAAAACAAGUCGAGUAUGAGGUUAGGUCACGGUUGCAGCAGGGCUGUUCUCUGGGGUUGCAGGUCAUAGCAUGGAGCCUUCUGGUGCUCUUGCUUGAUCAGGCCCAGAGAACUCACUGUUUAAUGAGUAUAUUUCCAUUUCUAUCCUUUCUGUCUAACCCCCUCCUUUAAGUGGCGUAGGAAGGGUGAGCCUUCCCCCUUCACCUAGAGCCAACUGGCUGCCCUCCUGUGGGAAUGGACUACAGGCCCGCAGCUCCAGCCCUGGCCACUCACCUCCUGCCUGGUUGCCCAGGGCCUGAGCAACUCAGGACGCCUCAGCCCCUAACUGGCAGUCUCCCUCCCUCAACCAAGGUGCAGGUAGAGGUUACUCCUCAGACACCUGCUGAACCCUUCUUAACCCAAUGAGUGUAGAACUACAACUAUAACAGAGAAAUUCCCCGCUUUAAAAAAAUGUUACUAUUUCUGAUAUAUGUUAUAUAUGCACUUGUAGAGAUUUGGAAAACAGGACAAUACAAAAAAGAAAAUUUAAAUACCCCACAAUCCAUCACCCAAAGUCAGCACUGCCAUUGACCUGCUAGUUUAUUUCCUUCAGGUUUUGUCCUUAGUGCUUUCGCUAAGUUGAGAUCAUGUUCACUUUUUUAAGCUGGCUUUAUGUUCACUCCAGAAUAUAAUUUAACUGACUUUUUAAUUUUAAGAAAAACUUCCUUGUCAAUAUGUUUUUAAUGCCUAUAUGUUUUCCAUGGAAAGGGUGUCUAUGGUACACUUCCCCAUCCCCCUGUUGGAUCUACUCUCAUAAGGAGAAGACAGUCCCUUCUGCCCCGACCUGCUCCAGUCUCUGGAACCCCACAGGCCCAUCCUGGCCCCCAGUAGGAAUGGGAGGGACUCCUCCACCUCUCCCUUCCCAUCUAUCUCUCUUCCCCUGUUGGCACAGCUUAGCUCCACAAUCCCACACCGCAGCCCGUCCCUGGGAAGGACCCCCAGUGGCUGGGUGAGGUGGAGGGCCCUGGGGGCCGGGGGCAGGGCUCGGGGCUGAACGAGCAGUUGGAGUUUGGGGAAGAGAGAAGCUCAGGGAGGUGCUCCCUAGGUUCAGGGACCCAGCAGAGGCUGGGACGGGUUGCACUGUGUGGUGGGGACAGGCCCAGCUUAAAGAGACGUUUACUUGGGCCUGAUCACAGUAUCAAAUCAUACCCCUCACGGCAACUCAUUUUCUGAAUUGGGCCCCAGCAAUCACUUAGGAAACAUUGAUUUAAAGAAGGCUCUUCCUGUUCUACCUCCUCUGAGGUCUGAUAUCCCAGGGUACCCCGCCUCCAACAUUUUAUUGUGUUAAACAUACAGCAACUUUGAGAAAAACGUCAGUGAACACCCACAGACCCACAAGCUAGAUUCCGUCAUUCACAUUUUACUCCCCUUGUUUCUCACACAUGACCAUAGAUGUCUGAAGACUAAUCUUACCUUUUUUUCCCUCUAUUUACCCCUUGUAUCUAAAACAGUUUCCAGUGGCCCUAAAACUAGGUGAAACUUUAAGGCAAUGGAUUCAUGUGGCAAUAGAUUCAAAGUUUCAAACUUGCAUUAAAUAGCCUGCCCAAGUUGUUUUCACAAAACCUGCACUUGGGACUUAUAAAUAACCAGUGUGAAACGGAGCCUGCCUUUAGGGCUUUGAAAGGGGGCCAGUUAGCACCAAAUGUCCCCUGCCAACUCCCUCGGCAGGCUGGCUUCUGCUCCCAUCCAGCCUGGGCCUCCAGGGCACCAUUUCCAUCUGGCUCCACUCCCUGUGUAUUGUCUGCCAUCUCGGUUGGGUCAGACUUUUGAUCACAAGACAGAAAUUUCAGGACACAGGAAGCUGACAGGAAGUGCUCUCUCUCUCUCGCCUCACCCCCUUUAUCCCCCGUGGUCAAGCAGAACAUGGGCUUCUGGGCUGAUCUAACGUCCCAGGUCCACACGUUUCCUUGGCAAGGGGGUGGGCAGGCCCUGUGUGGACACCAGGUGACAUUUCCCUCGUUGGUGGAGGGUAAGGGAUGGUAUUCUGACCCUCUUCUUUACUAUCCCUGGGAGGGAGAUUGUGGGCCUAUCCUAACCUUUCUUGAGAAACAAAGGGACAAAUCCCUGGAAGAUUAUUUAUAGACUCAUAGAACCCAAGUAUGCAUGCAGUUCAUUACUGGAAUUCCGAGGCUUUACACAAGGCCUCACAGAUGUUCCAUCUCCUCUCCCACUUUGCAGAUAGGCUGCCCGUCUUUUUUGGAAGAGGUACGCACACACUUUGCUUCAGAACAAUAGACAGCAGUCCUAUUUGUUGUCCCAUCCUGGGAAGGAAAACCCUGUAUUUGCUGAUGGUGGAGCGAGAGGGUCUCAGGCUUCAGACAGGGCCUUUCCCAGAGGGCUGCUGACAGUCAGUGCCCAGCCUCAGAUGAACAGGCAUGCUCCCCUGUCCCCCAUCAUGGCCCAACACCGACUGCCAAAGGGAACUGCUCUGCAGACGUGCUGGUACCACACAAAGCGCCCCACCCAGCUUUGCCUGUUCCCUACACGGCAGGUGUCCCCUGUCACCUCUGCCCUGCCACUGGUGGAUAACCGCGCUUCCCACUUCCCAGAGCACCAGGCCCUUGGCUGCCCUUUCACUUGGGUCUCCCGGGUCACCCCCAACCCCACGCCCUUUCCCCUUCCUGAUUCAGAGAAAGAGGCGUCCUGCUCAUACCCAAGGCCAUUUCCCCUGCAGGACACCCAGACCUUCUUGUCCAGCUGGUUGGCGACCUCCUCGCCUCCACUGACCUAAUCAUGGACAUAUGUCCCCACCACGUUCUCACAUUAGAAAACAAGCAAGAGCCUUCCCAGGUCUGCAGCCGCCUUAUUUCUCCUCCACCCAGAGCCCUGCCCGCAGCAAACACAGUCCACACCCCCUCCUGUGUCCUCUUCUUCCAUUUGCUCCCCAGCCCACUGCAGACUUACCAUGGUGUCACCCUGGCCCCACCUCCCCGGCCCAACA
Vicugna pacos (alpaca) is the source of this 6583-nucleotide non-coding RNA. The record is from RefSeq and is a predicted model, not a curated record. NCBI's taxonomy places the organism in Eukaryota, Metazoa, Chordata, Mammalia, Artiodactyla, Camelidae.